This 255-nucleotide ribosomal RNA is filed under the name uncultured bacterium. RNAcentral's name for it is "partial 16S ribosomal RNA". It matches the Rfam family "Bacterial small subunit ribosomal RNA", at positions 524 to 775 of the family's 1533-position model. The record is from RNAcentral.
UACGAAGGGGGCUAGCGUUGCUCGGAAUCACUGGGCGUAAAGCGCACGUAGGCGGACUCUUAAGUCGGUGGUGAAAUCCUGGAGCUCAACUCCAGAACUGCCUUCGAUACCUGGGGAGUCUUGAGUCCGGGGAGAGGUGAGUGGAACUGCGAGUGUAGAGGUGAAAUUCGUAGAUAUUCGCAAGAACACCAGUGGCGAAGGCGGCUCACUGGCCCGGUACUGACGCUGAGGUGCGAAAGCGUGGGGAGCAAACGG